This 481-nucleotide ribosomal RNA is filed under the name uncultured organism. RNAcentral describes it as "bacterial SSU rRNA". It matches the Rfam family "Bacterial small subunit ribosomal RNA", at positions 28 to 507 of the family's 1533-position model. The record is from RNAcentral.
GAUGAACGCUGGCGGCGUGCCUAACACAUGCAAGUCGAGCGAGAAACUCAGAAUUGACGCUUCGGUUGAUUUUCUGAGCGGAAAGCGGCGGACGGGUGAGUAACGCGUAGGCAACCUGCCCCUGACAGAGGGAUAGCAACGGGAAACUGUUAUUAAAACCUCAUAAUACACAGAAGGCUCAUGUCUUUUGUGUCAAAGAUUUAUCGGUCAGGGAUGGGCCUGCGUCUGAUUAGCUGGUUGGUGAGGUAACGGCUCACCAAGGCAACGAUCAGUAGCCGACCUGAGAGGGUGAUCGGCCACAUUGGAACUGAGACACGGUCCAAACUCCUACGGGAGGCAGCAGUGGGGAAUAUUGCACAAUGGGCGAAAGCCUGAUGCAGCAACGCCGCGUGAGCGAUGAAGGCCUUUGGGUCGUAAAGCUCUGUCCUUGGGGACGAAAAAAAUGACGGUACCCUUGGAGGAAGCCCCGGCUAACUACGUG